Gossypium raimondii (Peruvian cotton) is the source of this 571-nucleotide long non-coding RNA. RefSeq lists it as uncharacterized. The record is from RefSeq and is a predicted model, not a curated record. Lineage: Eukaryota; Viridiplantae; Streptophyta; Magnoliopsida; Malvales; Malvaceae. The transcript is spliced from 2 exons.
UGAACCCUUAUAAAAUCCUAUUUUAAAACCCUAAAGCCAUUCCCUUUCUCUGCCACUUUUGUGGUGCGCCGCAACUCCUCUCAAAACCCCUCCUCUGCCGUUCCAAUCUCCUCCCUUUUCCGACCAGAUAACAGCUAACGAGAGCGCCCAACGAAUCUCUCGACGGUACAUGCGUGUAUGGGAAUUGCUGCGACGUGGGGCAUGCACGGCACUGGAGGUUGCUGAGACGUGGGAUGUUGUUGCGAGGGAAGAACGUGGGCAGUUGCGGCAUGGGGCGAUGGUGGCGUCGAGGCUCUCUGCUAGUUAGGCUAGGGAUUUGGGUUAAUGACUUGGGCUUGUAAUGGGUUUGGGCCUUAGGCUUAGUUGGGCCCGGACAAUAAUUGGGUAUUACAUAUAAUAUAAUACAAUAUAAUACAAUAUAAUAUAUUAUAUUAUAUAAUAAAAUAAUAUAUAUAAAACAUAAAAAUCUAAGAUUUUUAUCACUUAUACCGUCCCAUUUCUUGUUAAUGGCUUAAUUGCCAUUUUAAUCCUUUUUAUUUUCUAUUAAUCUAUAAUUCAACUUUUACCCCUA